AUGACCUUGGUGCCGACGAGUGGUGGACGGGUGAGUAACACGUAGGAAUCUGCCCAACAGAGGGGGACAACCCGGAGAAAUCCGGGCUAAUACCGCAUACGCCCUAUUGGGGAAAGCGGGGGAUCUUCGGACCUCGCGCUGUUGGAGGAGCCUGCGUCGGAUUAGCUUGUUGGUGAGGUAAUGGCUCACCAAGGCUACGAUCCGUAGCUGGUCUGAGAGGAUGAUCAGCCACACUGGGACUGAGACACGGCCCAGACUCCUACGGGAGGCAGCAGUGGGGAAUAUUGCACAAUGGGCGAAAGCCUGAUGCAGCCAUACCGCGUGUGUGAAGAAGGCCUUCGGGUUGUAAAGCACUUUCGUUAGGGAAGAAAGGUGCAAGGUUAAUAACCUCGUACUGUGACGGUACCUAAAUAAGAAGCACCGGC
RNAcentral lists this ribosomal RNA (425 nucleotides) under uncultured bacterium. RNAcentral describes it as "bacterial SSU rRNA". It matches the Rfam family "Bacterial small subunit ribosomal RNA", at positions 76 to 497 of the family's 1533-position model. The record is from RNAcentral.